AUUGAACGCUGGCGGCAUGCUUUACACAUGCAAGUCGAACGGCAGCACGGGGGCAACCCUGGUGGCGAGUGGCGAACGGGUGAGUAAUAUAUCGGAACAUGUCCGGAAGUGGGGGAUAACGUAGCGAAAGUUACGCUAAUACCGCAUAUGCACUGAGGGGGAAAGGGGGGGAUCGCAAGACCUCUCGCUUUCGUAGUGGCCGAUAUCAGAUUAGCUAGUUGGUGGGGUAAAGGCCUAACAAGGCAACGAUCUGUAGCUGGUCUGAGAGGACGACCAGCCACACUGGGACUGAGACACGGCCCAGACUCCUACGGGAGGCAGCAGUGGGGAAUUUUGGACAAUGGGGGCAACCCUGAUCCAGCCAUGCCGCGUGAGUGAAGAAGGCCUUCGGGUUGUAAAGCUCUUUCGGACAGAAAGAAAUCGUGCAGAAUAAUACUCUGUAUGGAUGACGGUACUGUAAGAAGAAGCACCGGCUAACUACGUGCCAGCCGCCGCUGUAA
RNAcentral lists this ribosomal RNA (500 nucleotides) under uncultured bacterium. RNAcentral's name for it is "partial 16S ribosomal RNA". It matches the Rfam family "Bacterial small subunit ribosomal RNA", at positions 30 to 523 of the family's 1533-position model. The record is from RNAcentral.